This 212-nucleotide ribosomal RNA is filed under the name Triticum aestivum (bread wheat). RNAcentral describes it as "partial small subunit ribosomal RNA". Lineage: Eukaryota; Viridiplantae; Streptophyta; Magnoliopsida; Poales; Poaceae. The record is from RNAcentral.
AUGAUGAAGAUGAUGAAGAUGAUGAAGAUAAUGAGGACCCACUCGAUGAAGAUGAUGAGGACCCACUUCAUGAAGCCAUCGUAGCUCAAAGAACAAGGCUGAGCGAGGAGGAGGUGUCCAACCUGUGGGACAUAAUUCCGCCACGUGCUGACUUUGUCGGGGUGCCAUUCGUGACCCUCCUGACAAAUACCAUGGUUGAUCGACAUGAUAUG